AGGUGAGUAGUCUAAAUUGGAAAGGCAGCCGGUCUAAAAUAGCCGGAGUCGGGGGUUCGAUUCCCCCCUUACUUG
RNAcentral lists this transfer RNA (75 nucleotides) under Paracoccaceae bacterium. Its description in RNAcentral is "Rhodobacteraceae bacterium (subsurface metagenome) tRNA-Phe". It matches the Rfam family "tRNA". From Rfam's summary of the family: Transfer RNA (tRNA) molecules are approximately 80 nucleotides in length. Their secondary structure includes four short double-helical elements and three loops (D, anti-codon, and T loops). The record is from RNAcentral. Lineage: Bacteria; Pseudomonadati; Pseudomonadota; Alphaproteobacteria; Rhodobacterales; Paracoccaceae.